Long non-coding RNA from Monopterus albus (swamp eel), 709 nucleotides. RefSeq lists it as uncharacterized. The transcript has 3 exons. The record is from RefSeq and is a predicted model, not a curated record. NCBI's taxonomy places the organism in Eukaryota, Metazoa, Chordata, Actinopteri, Synbranchiformes, Synbranchidae.
CAGUUGUCUUCAGUUUGCUCCGUGUCUAAGUUUCUACCUCUGUCUACGCCAACACAACCUGCUACCUUUGUCAUUUUAAAGGUGCGUCUUUCGCGUGCGACCACCUUGGCAGUAGAAGAGAGUUGAAAGGACUGAAGUUGUGGACUGACUAAACAGACCUUUGUUUGAUUUAUUGGAGAUCUCUCUGUUCAACAAUAAUGACCGACAGGAGAAGAGAGUGAGAAGGAGGAGGGGAAAGAUAAGUGUCAAUCUGUUGAGACUUGUUUGGGAAUUUGAGGAAGGAGGAAGGUCGGGAGCGACUGAGAAAGAGGCAGGAAGAGGGAAGAGCAAGGAGAGCUCUGCUGUAAACAGAGUUUUUGUUUUUUUAGAAGAGUUAAAGGAUUGAGAGAAAAGAAAAAUCACAGUUAAGAUUUGUUCAACAAAAGGAACACGGUUGUUAUCUCACCUAGACAAUGUGAAUACCUGGAAUGAAUUCUUGUGGGUUGUGCUUUUGAGCUGAGCUGGACUGGAGGGGAGAGACUGGAUCUCCACAGGACACCACAUUCAGGAUCUCCAAACUAUGGGACUAUGGGGACUAAAAGACCCAGCUGCACCAUCUCUGACACUUUAUCUAACAUAAACACAUCUGACCGCAAGCUUCAGCCAGGUGGAAAACUCUCCUGGGAUCCAAGUCCCAGACCAGUAAAGACUACCCAGUCGGAGCGAGAGA